This 3142-nucleotide long non-coding RNA is filed under the name Salvia miltiorrhiza (redroot sage). Its description in RNAcentral is "long non-coding RNA (SMIL_LNC008550)". The record is from RNAcentral. Lineage: Eukaryota; Viridiplantae; Streptophyta; Magnoliopsida; Lamiales; Lamiaceae.
GCUGUAGUGGCGUUUGUAGCAUUUUCAUGUUCUGACAGGAUCGCGGAUGGCAAAAGGUACAAGUAGAUACAAAUUUGUUUAAAUAAUGAUAUUUGUAUUAAAUUGGCUACAACACUCGCCAGCCAUCUCUCUAUCUUUCUCCUGCCAAAUAGAUACCGUCGUUCGCCGGCUACAACACCUCUCGACAAAAAAAAAAAUUAGACAUGAGAAGAAGAAGGUGAAGGCAGACUUUGAGUUUUGCUUUCCAACCGACGUUCCUUACAAUUUUGGAACUAUUGGCGAUGAUCUAGAUGGAGGUAUCAAUUUGUUUAAGUAAUUUUCAUUUAAUUGUUUUAUUACUUUUUCUAUAUAUGUCUUCCAUUUGUCGCCGGUAUCUAGAUUUCUUUCUCUCUCCAACAUCACGUUUCUUUUCAUCUUCUAGUUUUUCAAUUCAGCUUCUAUUUCUCUAUAUUUUUCCAUAAAGUUUCUAUUCUUUAUUUGUCUUCCAGUAACAUCAGCAACAGUUUUAGGGUUUUUUUUAAUUCAGUUUCUCUUUCUCAAUUCAGUUGGCGCGACAGGCGGCGAUCGGCGAGGAGACUGGCAAAGCAAGAAGAAAGAAAAGGGAGAAGAUUUUGGCAAACGGUGCAAGGGCCUCUAAUUUAUUUAGGGAAUCUUCUAAUUAAAUUUGGUUACAUUUCAUAUUAUGCCUUUUUUGUUCUGAAUUUUCAGUUUUGGGAUUUCCAAGCUCCAUUCAAGAAGUCAGUUGGGCCUCCGAGAAGAUCACCUCUAGAUGGUAAAUUUGAUUGCAACUUCACCUUUAUCACCUUUAUUUUUCUUCUUCUUUUUCUUGAUAUGCAUCCAUUAGUGCGCUAACCUUUUUGUUGCUUGAUGGAAAUAAGUUCUGUAUGUGUGGUUCUUUGCAAUUGUGCACAUAAUUACAAAAUAUUAUCCCAUAUAAUGAAGUAGAUUUGCUCAGUUAUAUGAGUGAAGUAGAAGUGAAGUAGAAGUCCUGGAAUUCUUGCCAUUGGUGAUUAUUUGAAAGUUAUUUCUCUUUUAGCUUCUCUUUCUCUCUCUCUCUCUCUUUCCGGCAGUCUUCUUCCUUCAAGGUCUGCAGCUUCUUCUCAAUCUUUAAUGCUGGCAGAUUCGCCCUUCAAUGUCAUAGCUUCUUUUCUACAAGCUUCUUGCUUUAAAUUUGCAGAUUUUGUGGUUCGUUGGAAUAUAAAGAAGAGCAACAUUAUUGCUAUCUUUUUUUUAUUGUUCUUUUGACAUGUACUAAGGGCUUUGAGCAUAAUUAUUGGUAUCUUUUCUUUUUCCUCUCAUUAUAUCUUGUGUUCCAUAGCCUUCAAACUUUGUACGAAUUAUGAUUUUUUUGUUCGGUGAACUGCUAGAAUUUACUAUCUGGAAUUUGUUGAGCAGCUUUCCUUCUUAAUUAUUUUAAAUUUGAAUGGGUUUUACAUCAGCAUUUUAUGGUGCCUGAAACUAAAAAUUUAUGUUUUCGAAGGUAUCUGCGUUGAAUGAGGCUGUUUCUAGAAGUGUGAAGUUGGUGUUCAAAGCUUUGGAGCAGCGGCUUAACUCUCCAGAGGUACUCCAAUGAUUUGCUGAGUUUUGGUUAUUGAUACGUUUUUCCAUGAAUUGAAGAUAUUAGUUCAUGUUUAAGCCGUGAAAUAUGCUUGAUAUUUCUUUGUCAUGUUUUUCUUUCCCCCUGGAUUAGUAACACUUAGUAUGGAUUAACAAGGUGUUAGUUGAUAUGGAUCUCUCUUCUAUUUUUUUUUUUUUUCUCAAUUAGAUGAUUGCAGAAGCUUUUCUUUCUCUUUUUCUGCAAUUAUUGCUUAUCUUUCAUCGCAAGACCAGUAACUUCUUGCUUCUCCUUCCUUCAUUUUCUUGCUUCUCCUUUGGUCUUUCAAUUUAUUGCUUCUCUUUUAUCUUUUUUCAUUUUCAGUAGCUUUUUUGCUUCUCUUCAAAUUUCAUUUUCAGCAAACAAUGCAAAUUUUUGGACCAGCAUCAUUAUGAAGAAUCAACUUGGUUCUUGGGGAUGGGAAAUGAGUGCAGUCCCCUCUAUUUUUCUCGACCCCAGUCAAACUUUACGUAUAUUUUUUUGGAUGAUUAGUGUAUUAAGAUUGAAAUUUCUCUGGUUUCAUUAUGCAUUUAGUGAUAAAAUGGUCUUUUCCAUUUUACCAUGUUGCUCAAAACUCUUAGAUUCAGACCACCCAUUUCUUGACUGUUUCCUAUGGGAUUGGAGGCCACGUUUGAUCUUUUGGGAGUUCUAUGCUAUCAAGUAAAUUGAUGGUGAAGCAUGUAAAUAAUUUGUAUGCUAUUCUAUUAUUUGUUGAAGCACAUAUUUGAGUUUUGAGAAAUAGAAAAUUUGCAUUGGUUUGAAGAGGUACUUUAAAUCCUUGGAAUUGGUUGCAAAAUUUCAAAAAAAAAAAAGAAUUUACUUUUUUAUCUUGAAAUAAGUUCAUACUAUUUCAUUUUUAUAUAAAAAGACUAGGUGAUGAAUUUUAAUUUGACGUCAUUGAAUAUUAUACAAAAUAUAAAAUGAGAUUACUUCUAUUUAUUUUAGUUAAUGCAGAAUGCGAAUGUUCUAAUUUUUUAGAACAUCAUAAUUGUAGAUGAUUCAAACCUUUCAUCUAUCUCAAUAUUGUUGCACAAUGUAUAUUAUAAUCAAUACUAUUCAUUUUUGGGUAAAUAUUAUGAAACUAUUUGAAGUAUAUCCGCUUUAUUAAAAAUACUCUGAAAAUUUUAAAAUGUUCUCUAAAUUUUCAAACUAUCAAGUUUUAUCAAAUAUAUACCGAAUCUAUUUUUCGUUCACCAGAAACGUGAUGUGACUUACCGGAUGUCACAUUUUAAUUUAUAUUUUAUUUUUUUUAAAUGCAAUGACAAAAAAGAUGUUGUUUAGUACCAUAUCAUUUUAAAAAAAAAUUGCUCUUCUUAAAUUGGAGGAACCAAUUUGCUUCACUCAUUUUCAUUUAAUUUGUUUUUACUACUUUUCCUCGGAUAUUUUCUUUCAGGUUUCUCAAAUAUUAUCAUGGUUCAAAACAGUCGAGAGAUUAAUAGGCUCUUCAUCGAAAUUUUGUCUUGGAUCUUUUAUCAAUUUUCUUCUUAGAUUUUCAUAAAGGCUAUUUUUUUAUUUUGACAUUACAAAAGUUGUAUAUAUAUUAUUCAG